RNAcentral lists this ribosomal RNA (62 nucleotides) under Nigrospora sp. F105. RNAcentral describes it as "partial 28S ribosomal RNA". It matches the Rfam family "Eukaryotic large subunit ribosomal RNA", at positions 1 to 60 of the family's 3401-position model. The record is from RNAcentral. Lineage: Eukaryota; Fungi; Ascomycota; Sordariomycetes; Amphisphaeriales; Apiosporaceae.
GUUGACCUCGGAUCACGUAGGAAUACCCGCUGAACUUAAGCAUAUCAAUAAGCGGAGGAACA